AAUCAACGCUGGCGGCGUGCCUCAGACAUGCAAGUCGAACGAUUAAAGCUCUCUUCGGAGAGUGUAUAGAGUGGCGCACGGGUGAGUAACACGUAAGUAAUCUACCUUUGAGUGGGGAAUAACAGUCGGAAACGACUGCUAAUACCGCAUAAUGCAGCGGCAUCGCAAGAUGACAGUUGUUAAAGGAGCAAUCCGCUUAAAGAGGAGCUUGCGGCAGAUUAGCUAGUUGGUAAGGUAAUGGCUUACCAAGGCUACGAUCUGUAUCCGGUCUAAGAGGACGGUCGGACACACUGACACUGAAUAACGGGUCAGACUCCUACGGAGGCAGCAGUCGGGAAUUUUGGGCAAUGGGCGAAAGCCUGACCCAGCAACGCCGCGUGAAGGAUGAAGUAUUUCGGUAUGUAAACUUCGAAAGAAUGGGAAGAAUAAAUGACGGUACCAUUAUAAGGUCCGGCUAACUACGUGCCAGCAGCCGCCGUAAU
RNAcentral lists this ribosomal RNA (482 nucleotides) under uncultured bacterium. Its description in RNAcentral is "bacterial SSU rRNA". It matches the Rfam family "Bacterial small subunit ribosomal RNA", at positions 32 to 524 of the family's 1533-position model. The record is from RNAcentral.